Molecule: non-coding RNA, 484 nt
Organism: Theobroma cacao (cacao)
Lineage: Eukaryota; Viridiplantae; Streptophyta; Magnoliopsida; Malvales; Malvaceae
Source: RefSeq, a predicted model, not a curated record
AAUUCCAUAGUUAGCUGACUUUGACAAGGACCUUCAUUUGGACUUGAAUCGGCAAAAGCUGUAGGUUUUCAGCUUCAGAUGCUUUUUGGUCAGUUGGAGGCCCACGUGUCACUAUAAAAAAGCUGAUGCUAAGCCUUGCGGGGUUUCGAUCGGCAUUCGGGGUAAUGAGUACCUAUCAGGACGUAACGGUGGUUGUCAUGGGCCCGAUGAGAGUUCCGAGUCGUGACAUACAAUGCAUGGCAUUAACACUUGAAAUUUACUAUUGAAUGGCAAGUGAAAUUUACAUAUUCAUUGGUGAUCGGUUAUUUCGCAUAUUUAUGUUUGAGACUUUUCAUUUUACACUUGCCAUUGGAUUUACUAUUGACUAGAUAUCGAAGUUGAAAGAUUUUCUAGUACCUUAAAUACAACGUUUUCAUAUUUGUUUUUUUUGUGAUUUAUUACUUUUAAGACUUGCAAGGUAUAAAAACAAAAUCUCUCAGUUUAA